CGGAUUACUAAAAUUGUUCGACCAUCAUUUGUUUGCAAUUUGUUUUUUCUUUCUGGGUUUGAAUGGCAGUGGUGACAUUUAACGUGGUGAGUAUUCAAUCAUGUAGGACAGAUCUACUCUCAACAGUCGGAAGUUAAACGUGGAAUGCCUCGUCCGAGGUUAACGGUUGAACAACGUCGAAUUAGUCAAGCACGAAGAAGGCAAUUAGAUGCUGCUCGGAAAAGGAGGAGACGAAUGGAUAUUAACUACAGACAGAAUGAGCAGCAAGCGAAUACCGAAGCACGCCGGAAAGCACGACAAGUAUCUCGCACACACUAUAGAUACUUCACUUGUGACAACUUCUUAGUGGGAAAGUCAUGACCCUUCUGAAGUCUCCAAGUUCUUGUUCAAGGAAGAAACAAAGAAGGUUAACGGCCGAAGGCACCUUCAGGCGGAUGUUAUGCCAACAAUAUUUGAUUACCCAGAAUACCUUCUUAGCCAGUGUUCUGUAAUAAGGAUGGCUAAUAACCAACAGACAUUAAUAGGUAGUUCCCAGGACUUUUUUCCACUAGCUGAUCAUUCCAUUUUUGGAGAAUGUUCUGGAGCACCCUCAAAGCAAGUUGUUGAUGAUUGUAGCAGGAGCCUCCUAAGAUCCUGUAAACUUGUUCCAAAACUUCAAACCAGCAAGAAAAUACGUAAAUCAGAUGAUCAUGGAGCAGAGGGUGUUGACAGGGUUCCCACUGUAAAUACAGAUUGCAGGAACAUGGACUCUGAGUCUCCAUCAUCUCUGGAAGAGAAUGAAAGUGAAAAGAAGAGAGACGUAGCAGUCGAGGAAUCAGACACCUCCGUCUGCUCUGUGGAAAUGUCUGCAGGAGUUAAUGCCAUUAGUAGACUGAAGUGAUUUCCAUCGGCAAGUGUGAGUUCCUUGACAGAAAACUUAAAAAGUUCAUAUGCCCACUGUUACAUUGUAGGAGCAAAACGUCUUAGUGGAAUUAUGUAUUGAUUUGAAUUCAUCAUUAGACCAAACAGAGUGAAAUGUGUAUCGGAGUCCAUCUCAGCAUUGGACUGGAAAUUGUUAAAGAGUUAUUUAAAUGCCCUUUAAGCAUUGUGUUGUAGUAUAAUGAACACAACAGGGGCAUUCAACAAGUUUGCCACCAUAUCCAGGCCAGUGAAGCUGUUUUGAAGACAGAAUCCACACCACAUAGUGAGGCUGAUCCGUUAUCCAUUUCUGUUGAAGGUCGAGAAAGAAAACUUCCUGAAGUUCCUGCACCUGUAGUUUGAAGAGACGUUCAGAAUGUCAUAGGUAAAUUGAAGUUUGAGCCUGAUUCAGGUGAUGAAGCAGAUGUGAUGCCUAAAAAUAUUAAAACUGAGUUCAUUGACAUAAAGGCAGAAGGAACUCCAGACUCUGCAGCUUUAGAAAAUGAUGAUAAUGAAGAACUUCAUUCUGUCAUUUCAUCCUUGCAUGAAUAUGGCGGCGUAGAUGAAAAGUGUGCCACUGCGUCAAAAUCUGAAAGCUGUACCCCAGGUAGUACUCUCCGACCAGCCUCCUCUCGAGACUCUCUGGUCCAUUCUCCUAUCACUAGCAGUUGUUACCAUAGAUGACCUAUGUUGAUAUAUUUUAACAACUUGCCCCCUUGUUACAUUGGCUUCUUAUUUUGUGCAGUUAACAUAGGUUAUCUAUGGUCAACAGCUGUGGGAACCUACAAGACGAAGAUGAACGGGGCGCAACACAUGGAGAACCAAAUGGAAGUGAUAGAAGAAACUGUGAAUGGAACUAGCAAUUUAUAAAAAAAAUUAGCAGCGUAUCCAAUUAGUUUUGUGACAUUUCAGAGAUUCUGUAAGAAACUUGAAGAUGGAAGUCCUGGUGUGGUUAUAUUUGUGAGGUUUUCAGCAAUAAUUUUAGAAGGCAAAAUCAGCAGAAUGUGUAGUGUAAUACUUCUCCUUUCAGUUUUGAAUGUAUAAAUUAAUUUGUAUAAAGUUUGUAUUUACUUAAGAAGUGGUAAUUAACAGAAUGUGUUGUACGACACCUAAUUUAUGUUACACUUAAAGUGUUCAGCUAUAAUGUAUCAGAACCAGAGCAGGCGUUGAUACCACAUUGGAUGUAAAGACGAUGUUGCGUGUUUAUGGAUGCAGAAGAGUUGGUACUUGAAUAUGUGGUUGAUUCGUUCAGACUGUAUUAUGUGCUAACCAUGGAAGACAUCAGAAAUGUACCUUACCAGUAAGUUGUCGAAAAGAUGUGACCAUUCCAGAUGGUUGGUGUGACAAAGAACACGCUUCUUCUGACUGGUUGUCUUUCCUUGAACUAUAAACUAUGAGUCUAGGUAAAGCAACUGGUUUCACCAAACAUAACAUUGAGAUGUUCUUUGGUACUUUGGGCAACAUGUUAGUUUGUUAAUACAUUUAUAAUGUGGAUGGGGACUGCAGUAACUAUUGUACAAAAAUCAACGUAGAUCAUAACAAGGAGCAGUGUUAGGGAGAAUGGAGCAGUGGCCUCCAUAAUUGAGAAACUGAGGUGAUUGAUUUUAACACGUUGCUUUAUCUUCCUCCUCUGGUUAGUUGCACCAUAAUUUUGUUGGAUUGUAAAAUGUAAUACACAAUGGAAAUGGAGAAAAUUAAUUAAAUAUUUGUAUGGUAGUUUAAUUUAUAUGAAUAUGUGUGAAUGAGAAUUUAUGUUUACAGUUGUUUAAGGAUUAUUCUUAAGAUGAAUGAUAUUAAAAUUAGUUAUUCUUGAGAAUUCAGUUGUAUCUUCUUAUGAUGAAAAUGAGAAAAAGGAUUUAUUUAUAAAUUACAUUUAUUGUGUGGCCUUACCUUUUCCCAUUAGAGUUCACCCUGGUCUUCUGUUUUGCUAUGUUGUAUGGGGACCAGGGUGUCAGUCUCUGCCCAGUGGUAGGACAUGUAAUGUCUAUUCCAUUUUCUAGGGCUGAAUUGUGUGGGUCUUUUCCUGGCAAUGAAAUUGGGUAGACUACCUACAAGUUCCCGGUGCUGCUUGCUGAGUCGGCAUUGUUUUCUGUGUGUGACUAUUCGGUAUCUUAAAAUAAAUAAUUGUCUUAUAAAGAUUGUGUUUCAGUUGUUUGUCCUGUUGGUGGCAGCAUAUGUAAACCCUUUGCAGAAUCAACUUUGAGCACAGAAUAUGUGCUUGCCUAUUAAACCAAUAUUUAUGGAACCUAUGAGUAACUGCCCUUUUGUUUAAAAGUAACAUUAAAUUGUGAACUGGUGAAAUGUCUGUAGGUUUCCAUUUUAGCCUCUAAAGGAACUAAUAACUUUUCUAUAAUGUAAAUCGUAAGACUGAGAAUCCCUUAACAAUAUUACCGUUGCAGCUGUGCAACGUACAUAUAAACCUGUAGUUGAUAUCCCAUAAGGUCAAAACUUGAUUGGCAGCAUUAACAUGGCAAUUUUUAUAACUGCACACCAGCAUGAUUGACAAAACUCACUGUAUUAUAUGUAGAUUAUACACAAGAAUUAUUAUGGUUAAAAUAUUAUGUUAUGGACAGUAUUAAAAUUUGUGGAUGAAAUUAGAGCGCAUGGUUUGUAAUCUUAAAGAUUGAGGAAGCUCUGUGACAAUUUCGGCUUUCGAGAGUUAGUACAGUAAAACCCCUCUAAUUUGA
Zootermopsis nevadensis is the source of this 3584-nucleotide non-coding RNA. The record is from RefSeq and is a predicted model, not a curated record. Lineage: Eukaryota; Metazoa; Arthropoda; Insecta; Blattodea; Termopsidae.